Molecule: ribosomal RNA, 499 nt
Filed under: uncultured bacterium
Lineage: Bacteria
Description: partial 16S ribosomal RNA
Rfam family: Bacterial small subunit ribosomal RNA
Source: RNAcentral
GACGAACGCUGGCGGCGUGCCUAAUACAUGCAAGUCGAGCGAAGUUUUUCUGGUGCUUGCACCGGAAAAACUUAGCGGCGAACGGGUGAGUAACACAUAAAGAACCUGCCUCAUAGACUGGGACAACUAUUGGAAACGAUAGCUAAUACCGGAUAAUAGCAUUAACUGCAUGGUUGAUGUUUAAAAGUUGGUUUUGCUAACACUAUGAGAUGGCUUUGCGGUGCAUUAGCUAGUUGGUGGGGUAAAGGCCUACCAAGGCGACGAUGCAUAGCCGACCUGAGAGGGUGAUCGGCCACACUGGGACUGAGACACGGCCCAGACUCCUACGGGAGGCAGCAGUAGGGAAUCUUCCGCAAUGGGCGAAAGCCUGACGGAGCAACGCCGCGUGAGUGAAGAAGGAUUUCGGUUCGUAAAGCUCUGUUGUUAGGGAAGAAUGAUUGUGUAGUAACUAUACACAGUAGAGACGGUACCUAACCAGAAAGCCACGGCUAACUACGUG